CCUGUACUCCCUCCGUUCGGAAUUACUCGUCCAAGAAAUGAAUGUAUCUAGAUGUAUUUUAGUUAUAAAUACAUUCACUUUUGUGACAAGUAAUUCCGAACGAAGGGAGUACUAG
Triticum aestivum (bread wheat) is the source of this 115-nucleotide non-coding RNA. The record is from Rfam. NCBI's taxonomy places the organism in Eukaryota, Viridiplantae, Streptophyta, Magnoliopsida, Poales, Poaceae.